UUGGCAACAGUUGAGCUGCACAUCCCAAAUAAUUGUGGAAAAAUGGAAUUAAAGAAAUCUGGAUCACCAAAUGCUUUUAUGACCUGGUCAAGAGAAGAGAAACCUGCUUCACGGUAUUUCUUCACCUUCUUUGUGCAUGCAGAAUAUACUAUAUCCAAAACUGCCUUAGGGGUGGCAGGAUUUUCGGAGGCGAUAGCUUUAUGGCAAGAUGUAGAAAGUGCACCUAUUGCAUCUAAAAGAGUAUCCUUUCCCUCCCAUAGUCGACCAGGAAUUUCCUUCAUAAGAGCUUCAAGCAGAACAUGGCAAUAAGAAGACAGUGAUUCACCCAAGACUUCACUAAGCUUACAAAUUGCCUGGGCUGACUUUCUUUUCCUUGCCCAAGAUGAUGACGCAAAGCCCUCACAAAUUAAAGAAACAAUUUCUCCCAGAUACAACUGAACAGUGAUCCUUUCACCACUCAUGCUGUCUUCCCACAACUCCUCAAAUAGCCCAGAAACAUACUUGUCAUGAUCAAAUCUAGAAAUAAAUAUAACUGGAAAAAUCACUGCAUGAUAUCCGCUCACAACAUCAGAUGCCACUGAUGAAUAGCUUUUCAAAAGGAUUGCACAUGAAAUUUGCACAUUCCCUUCCCCAAUAUGCAAAGCUGUAGUUUCUUCAAUUAACUUUUGAGCGUGCGAGGGACUUGCAUGCUUCAAAACCAUGGCACAAGAGCUUGCAAAAGCACGUUUUGCGACAGUACUCUUCUCCUCCGUCACAACUGGAAACAACAGCCUUAAUAGCAUACUUGCAAAUGGUUUUAUAUCUGUGCCAACUCUCUGAACCAAUAAGCUAAUAAAGUUGGCAACGCCAACCCUAGUGUUGAGGCCAACCCCUGAUCGAACCAAAUGAGCAAGACGAGGAACCAAUAGAUCUAGCGUUUCAGUGUUCACAACAUUUAUGCAUAGAUCAAGAGUUUCCCACAUUGGGGAGCCUUUUGCAAUUGAAAUCCGCAAAUUAUCGAGCUUCUCUGCCUGUAUCCCAAUGUUUGAAGCAUGCAACUCAACGUAAUUGAGCCCUUGGUCUUCAAGACUUGAUAAACUUUCAAGCAUGCAACAAACUAAAUCUGAUAAAUGUGGACGAAGUGCAAUUCCUGCACCCUUUGCAAGCUUCAUAACAACUCCAAUCGAAGCCUUACGAAUACUGUCAACUUUACUUAAUAUGCCUUCCAUAAGCAACAACGGCAGAGAAAUUUCCAUUGCUUUUCUGGUGUCUGAUAUGUCAGUAAGUGAGACAUCACAUAACCUUAUUGUUAAUGAAGAUACAGCACGGCAUAAUCUGUCACCAGCAUUUCGAACAGUUUCCUUUAUGUCAUCCAUGGCACGGAAUGCUGCUGUCCAUAUUUUCUUCAAAUGCUUCCCAACCUGUUCAAAUUUUCGUCCUUGGAUAAUAUCGGCAAGCGCAAGACAAGAAGCCUCACGUGAUCGCCAAAGCCUAGAUCCACAUUGUAUAGUCAAAUCAUCGAUGAUAAUGUCCAAGUGUUGAUCAAUAGUGUUCUUAGGGUCUGCCACUAGCGACUUCCAUAUGUGUGCCAUUGCAUCCUGUACAUUUUUAUCUGGAUCAUAUUGAUACCUAACUAGUCGCGGAAUCAAUAACCGUAAGUGAGGUUGGAGGGCAUCCCCAGCUUGCUUGGCUAUCUUUGAAAACCCAAAAGCAGCACCUCUCUUGGAAUUCAAAGAAGCUUGAUGAUUAGCCAAAUCCAUAAACUUAUAAAUUAAGUCUGGCUGACCCAUCUCAUUAGCUAGAUUGCAGAGCUCCUUGUAUGUGCUAAGCUUCCCUCCACUGUGACUUUCACCAAUGGCCCCCUCUUGAAACACCUCAGAGUCUUCAACUAGCUUGAUAGCUCUUUUCCUUUUCCCUGAACCAGUUAAAGUGGUUACAAGUGCAUCUACUAAGCUUUUCUUCAUUGAUUCAUCCCCAAGUUCAUAGACAAUACUCAUGCCCUGGGAUGCAAGUUCUUGUGUAAGUUCAUUCUGUUCACCUAGUAGAUGUGAAAAUGCAUCCUGAAUUUCUGGAAGCAUUUGUUGGAUGGUUGGGUGAUGGCCGCAAUACAUUGCCAGUGAUAAUAACCAAACAGUUCCAGCACAGCGCUCCUCUUUUCUGCUACUGUAUAAAAGAACAUCAAAAAGUUUUCUUGUAAUUGCAUCUCUAACUGUCGCAUGAAAGUCUUCACUAGCUUCACUUUUCCCAUUAAAGCUGCAUUUCGACAAAGAUAAGUUCACAUCUCCCAAAAGAAAGUUUGACAUCAUGGAAAG
This 2291-nucleotide unclassified non-coding RNA is filed under the name Hevea brasiliensis (rubber tree). Lineage: Eukaryota; Viridiplantae; Streptophyta; Magnoliopsida; Malpighiales; Euphorbiaceae. The record is from RNAcentral.